RNAcentral lists this ribosomal RNA (483 nucleotides) under uncultured bacterium. RNAcentral describes it as "partial 16S ribosomal RNA". It matches the Rfam family "Bacterial small subunit ribosomal RNA", at positions 28 to 523 of the family's 1533-position model. The record is from RNAcentral.
GACGAACGCUGGCGGCGUGCUUAACACAUGCAAGUCGAACGAUGAAGCCGGAGCUUGCUCCGGUGGAUUAGUGGCGAACGGGUGAGUAACACGUGAGCAAUCUGCCCUUGACUCUGGGAUAACUGCGGGAAACUGUAGCUAAUACCGGAUACGACACCUUGGGGCAUCCCAGGGUGUGGAAAGAAUUUCGGUCAAGGAUGAGCUCGCGGCCUAUCAGCUAGUUGGUGAGGUAAUGGCUCACCAAGGCGACGACGGGUAGCCGGCCUGAGAGGGUGACCGGCCAACCUGGAACUGAGACACGGUCCAGACUCCUACGGGAGGCAGCAGUGGGGAAUAUUGCACAAUGGGCGAAAGCCUGAUGCAGCAACGCCGCGUGAGGGAUGAAGGCCUUCGGGUUGUAAACCUCUUUUAGCAGGGAAGAAGCGAAAGUGACGGUACCUGCAGAAAAAGCACCGGCUAACUACGUGCCAGCAGCCGCCGUAA